This 438-nucleotide ribosomal RNA is filed under the name uncultured bacterium. RNAcentral describes it as "partial 16S ribosomal RNA". It matches the Rfam family "Bacterial small subunit ribosomal RNA", at positions 339 to 795 of the family's 1533-position model. The record is from RNAcentral.
CUACGGGUUGCAGCAGUGGGGAAUAUUGCACAAUGGAGGAAACUCUGAUGCAGCAACGCCGCGUGGAGGAUGACACUUUUCGGAGCGUAAACUCCUUUUAUAUAGGAAAAAGAUGACGGUACUAUAUGAAUAAGCGCCGGCUAACUCCGUGCCAGCAGCCGCGGUAAUACGGAGGGCGCAAGCGUUACUCGGAAUCACUGGGCGUAAAGAGCGUGUAGGCGGAUUAAAAAGUCAGAAGUGAAAUCCUAUAGCUUAACUAUAGAACUGCUUCUGAAACUCUUAAUCUAGAAUAUGGGAGGGCAGAUGGAAUUUCUGGUGUAGGGGUAAAAUCCGUAGAGAUCAGAAGGAAUACCGAUUGCGAAGGCGAUCUACUAGAACAUUAUUGACGCUGAGACGCGAAAGCGUGGGGAGCAAACAGGAUUAGAUACCCCUGUAGUC